CCAAGGCGACGAUCCGUAACUGGUCUGAGAGGAUGAUCAGUCACACUGGAACUGAGACACGGUCCAGACUCCUACUGGAGGCCCCAGUGGGGAAUAUUGGACAAUGGGCGAAAGCCUGAUCCAGCCAUGCCGCGUGUGUGAAGAAGGUCUUCGGAUUGUAAAGCACUUUAAGUAAGGUGGUGUAAAUUUCCUGUGAGCGGUGAAAUGGGUUGAUUAUGGAAGAACCCGGGUGGCGAAGGCGAACAACUGGACUGAUACUGCACUUGAGGUCGCAAGCGUGGGAGCAACCGGAUUAGAUGCCUGUAGUUCAGCCGGUAACGAUGUCACUAAGCCGUUGGAAGCCUUGACUUCUUAUGGCCCAGCUAACGCAUUAAGUUGACCGCUUGGGAGUACGCCCGCCAAGUUAAAACUCAAAUGAAUGACGGGGGCCCGCACAAGCGGUGGAGCAUGUGGUUUUAUUUGAAGCACCGCGAAGAACCAUAACCAGGCCUGACAUCCAAUGACUUUCCCAGAGAUGGAUGGGGUGCCUUCGGCCUUGAAACAGGUGCUGCAUGGCUGUGGUCAGCUCGUGUCGUGAGAUGUUGGGUUAAGUCCCGUAACGAGCGCAACCCUUGUCCUUUAGUUACCAGCACAUUAUGGUGGGCACUCUAAGGAGACUGCCGGUGACAAACGGGAGGAAGGAGAGGAUGACGUCAAGUCAUCAUGGCCCUUACGGCCUGGGCUACACACGUGCUACAAUGGUCGGUACAGAGGGUUGCCAAGCCGCGAGGUGGAUCUAAUCGGAGAAAAACCGAUCGUAGUCCGGAUCGCAGUCUGCAACUCGACUGCGUGAAGUCGGAAUCGCUAGUAAUCCCUCAGGUGAGCGGAAUACGUCCCAGGCAUGUACGCCUCCUUAACCAUGGGAGUGGGUGCACCAGAAGUAGCUAGUCUAACGUCGAGGUAGAGUAAUCUACUCGGGCG
RNAcentral lists this ribosomal RNA (960 nucleotides) under Pseudomonas syringae pv. syringae. RNAcentral describes it as "bacterial SSU rRNA". It matches the Rfam family "Bacterial small subunit ribosomal RNA", at positions 268 to 1464 of the family's 1533-position model. Lineage: Bacteria; Pseudomonadati; Pseudomonadota; Gammaproteobacteria; Pseudomonadales; Pseudomonadaceae. The record is from RNAcentral.